RNAcentral lists this long non-coding RNA (290 nucleotides) under Solanum tuberosum (potato). RNAcentral's name for it is "long non-coding RNA (STUB_LNC005928)". The record is from RNAcentral. Lineage: Eukaryota; Viridiplantae; Streptophyta; Magnoliopsida; Solanales; Solanaceae.
UAUCAUUUAGUAGAGGCUUCACAGAUUAUGUCAGAUGUCAAACAAUUGAUUUUGUUUUCCAGAAUAUGGGUUUAUAACUUUCAGUUUAAUACAUUUCUGUAGUCUUAAUGUAUUGUGAUGAAAACUUCCAUCCUUUAAGGGAUCGUGUUUAAGUUCAUAUUGUUUUCCACUUUGUUCAAUUAUUAUAGUUUCAUGCUCAUAUGAUAUGCCAGAACGUUCGCUCGUACUAGCAAUAGUGUUGGGUGUGUGCCACGUCCAGGGUCUUGGCUCGGGGCGUGACACAAAUAAAU